This 464-nucleotide ribosomal RNA is filed under the name Vreelandella stevensii. Its description in RNAcentral is "partial 16S ribosomal RNA". It matches the Rfam family "Bacterial small subunit ribosomal RNA", at positions 338 to 795 of the family's 1533-position model. Lineage: Bacteria; Pseudomonadati; Pseudomonadota; Gammaproteobacteria; Oceanospirillales; Halomonadaceae. The record is from RNAcentral.
CCUACGGGUGGCUGCAGUGGGGAAUAUUGGACAAUGGGGGCAACCCUGAUCCAGCCAUGCCGCGUGUGUGAAGAAGGCCCUCGGGUUGUAAAGCACUUUCAGUGAGGAAGAACGCCUGGUGGUUAAUACCCAUCAGGAAAGACAUCACUCACAGAAGAAGCACCGGCUAACUCCGUGCCAGCAGCCGCGGUAAUACGGAGGGUGCGAGCGUUAAUCGGAAUUACUGGGCGUAAAGCGCGCGUAGGUGGCUUGAUAAGCCGGUUGUGAAAGCCCCGGCUCAACCUGGGAACGGCAUCCGGAACUGUCAAGCUAGAGUGCAGGAGAGGAAGGUAGAAUUCCCGGUGUAGCGGGGAAAUGCGUAGAGAUCGGGAGGAAUACCAGUGGCGAAGGCGGCCUUCUGGACUGACACUGACACUGAGGUGCGAAAGCGUGGGUAGCAAACAGGAUUAGAUACCCUAGUAGUC